AUCAAUUUAGCAAAAAUAAGUGCGACUGAUUUAGGAUCAGUAAAUAUAAGUUAAUUUAUAUUUGAUA
RNAcentral lists this transfer RNA (67 nucleotides) under Lioplax pilsbyri. Its description in RNAcentral is "tRNA-Leu". It matches the Rfam family "tRNA". Rfam says of the family: Transfer RNA (tRNA) molecules are approximately 80 nucleotides in length. Their secondary structure includes four short double-helical elements and three loops (D, anti-codon, and T loops). The record is from RNAcentral. Lineage: Eukaryota; Metazoa; Mollusca; Gastropoda; Architaenioglossa; Viviparidae.